This is a long non-coding RNA of Ictidomys tridecemlineatus (thirteen-lined ground squirrel), 2686 nucleotides long. RefSeq lists it as uncharacterized. The record is from RefSeq and is a predicted model, not a curated record. NCBI's taxonomy places the organism in Eukaryota, Metazoa, Chordata, Mammalia, Rodentia, Sciuridae.
GCGUGCUCAGGGAGGCUGCGCCGAGCACUGAGCUUGGGCGUUGCUCAGUAUCUCGAAGGCAUUUUUAUCCAUGCUCCAAGGCUCUGGAUGCCCAUCUUAGCCAAUGGCCAUGGUGAGGGACUGGACAAGUGCCCUAGCACAGGGGCAGGCUGUGCACUCAGUGGGGCCAGCUUCCCUGCAGCCUCUCUCUGUUCUCAGCCCUGGGCCCUGGCCUUGACUCAGGGACUCUCCAUCCACCGAAGAGAACCAGAAAGCCUUCUGCUUCCCUCCCACCCCGGCUCAGGCAGGAUUAAUGCCAUUCUGCAGCCUCAGCGAGAAUCUCAGGUUACCAUGGCAACCCUGCACAGGGAGGAGCGGGCCGGGCCUGACUUGGGGAUGAGAAGUUUCCAAGGUAGCUGUGCCCGAGGGGAUCGUCCAGCGGUGACAGAGGACCAUGGGAAGAGAAAACAGAAGCCCAGAAGAUGAAGCCAGGGCACAGUGUGACGAUGGAUUAGAAGUGGGUUGUUCUGAUCCGGGACCUCGUAACGCCGUCUGCUUCUCCAUGUGAUUUAUUAUUUACCUCAAAGGGACUUCGAGAGAGAGAGAACGCCUUGGUUCCCAUCACUGAGGCCAGUGUCCUUUGGUCCUGCUAGGGAGGGGCCUGUCCCUCCUGUUGGCCUACUGGACACAGGUCUGGGGGUGCUAGUGAGGGACAGUGGCUGGGUGGACUAGGGGGCUUCUCUCCUGAGUUCCGGGCGAGGCUGCCCUGUCCCUGCUGCCCACACUGCAGUGGCCCUCAGGAGGCAGAGCCCCGCCUGCUGGCUCUGGUGGAGCUGGGCCCUUCCUCCCGGGGCUGGACACCCUGGCCUCUGUCCCUCCCUCCCUCCCAGGCCUGGGCACUCUGGCUGCCCCUGUCUCCCAGGACUGCUCCUGCCCACCCAUCCCAGAGGGCCGCUCAAGGGCCCCUUUGAGCUGUCUGGCCCCUUCCAUUCCUGCCUCCAGCCCUGACUGUGAGGUGCUGGGGGAGGCCCGGGGGCCCUGAAACCCCACAGGACACCCCGCCUUCCCUGGGGACUCCAGGAUGAGGACCAAACCUGCCCUUCCCCAGGAAGGGCCCCCUUCCUGAGCUUCUCCCCACGGGCUGCAGUACCCCCAUUUCCCCAGCCCACCAGGCUGUUCUCCGGACCGUGGAGCCUCGUGUGCUAGGAGAGGCCAGUGAAGGUCUGCCGUGAGGGAGUGGCCACCCAGAGACCACGGCGGCAGGGUGGUGGCAAGGUGUCAGGGGACACAGAACCCGCCCUGCACGCCUGAAACCCUCCACCUAGGGGAUCUGGGGUGGAUUUUCACUUCUUCUCUGUAUUCUUCUGUACUUUUCCAAACAUCUAAAGUAAACAUUCUUUUUAGAGUAGGGGGCGGUACUAAAAGACCCUCAACCCCUACACCUUGGCCUGCGUCUAUUUUGCCCACCUCACAACCACCCUCGGCCAGGUGGGAGGCCUCCGUAGGUGGGAUAGCUGAGUACAGAGCCCUCCUCCCUCCUCCGUCCCAGAGCCAAGAAACACACACCGUGGGAGUCAGGCAUUGAGUCCAAGCUCCACUGUUCACCUGCUGUGUGACCACAGAGGGGUUACUGUAUGUCUCUGAGCCCCAGUUUCCCUGUCGAUUACAUGUAGUCUACAUGCAGUUUGGAGUAGUUUUGGACAAGGAGGAAGAUGAUCUGAAUUCAAGGUGACCGGAGGAGCAAGAAACUUCCUCAAUGGGAUGAAAACUACAUACUCACCCAGGAAAGUAGCACCAAGCCCCCACAGCCAUAUCCCAGUUCAGUUUCUAAAAACCUGGGCUAAAGGGAAAACAUCAACAAAACAAAAACAAACAAACAAACAAAACAAAACCCAAACCAGACAGUAACAACUGAGCAAGAUACAAGGGCCACAGACUUCUUGUCUGGAACUAUGCAGGUCAGAAGACCAUGGAAACCAUGGCCCAAGAAGUCUGCAUCCACCGAAAACACCCUUCAAAAAUCAAGGCAAAAACAUUAAAGGCAAAAUGAAAAUUUUUUCAGACUUAAAAAAGCUGAGAGAGUCUUUGUUCAAAAGAGCUACACGGUAAGAAAUGUCAUGAAGUCGGCACGCGCCCUCUGGGCACCGUAACAAGGGGCUGGUGACUUGAUUAUGGACUAGAAGGAACUUCGUCCUCAGGUGCCGAGAACCCGGGUCUGCAUGAGGACACCAAUUCCUGAUGUGUGAACUGGGGGUGAGACGUUCGCUGCUUCUGAGGUCUUUGAAAGGGUCCUCUCCUUGGUUUUCGAGGGGAUUGUAUCUGGACCUGGAUUUGGGGGGCUGAAUAAGAGUCUCUCUUCUGUUUUAGAUGGGUUAGGCUCUAAGAAAUAAAACGCCAAACACCAAACUUCAAAGGCAACUUCAAAAGACGCUUCCGUUGAGCGAUCAUUUCCUGAUAAUUAAGAAGAUGUCAGAAGAAAGACAUUCUGGGUGCAGUGGCAAGACCUCUGGGCUCCAGGGUCGCACAGACCUGCAUUGAAAUCCCAGUUUGGCUACCGCGUUCCUGUAUUCCGUGAGUGUUCCCGAGAGUCUGUAUUCCGGCUCCUGUAGGGACUGGAGACACAGAAACAGUGCACAUGUCCCUGCCUCCACGGUGUUGAUAUUCUAGUGGGGAGACAAUAAAAGUGAGCAAGCUGCUUGGGUUUGAA